UCAAAAUAUAUAUUAUAUAACACGUUACGCUGUUAUACUAAAUUAUGUGACACUGUGUAAAGCCCCGUAUUACUUUACGUUGUAUGCAUUUACGAUCGAACACGUUGCAGAUAUGUUCCUGUUGGAAUUCUAGAGAAACCACCGCAGAGGAUCAACGAGCGGCCGCCGUUCUACAGAGGUCGCAAUGAUAUGGAGACGUUGAUGGCCAGUUCCAAUUGUGCCGACUGGGUGAAGUUAUCAGAAAUGUUGCUUGGAAAAGUGCCUGAUGGAUUCCACUUUUUGCCGAAGCACAAGGCGAACUCGUGGAAGUAAUUCUGUUGCGAAGAAGCGAAGUCGUGGUGACGAGCGGGCUUUUCAGCGAGUGAAAUACGUUACCACAUAUAUAUAUAUAUUUGCGAAUUUCCGCAAUAAAUAAUUUCUAUAAGAGAGAAAACUGGUGGGAUCGUUAGCUGAUACGUUUCCGAAGUUUUUCGAUACCUUUGUAAUGAAUUGUCGAACUCGUUGAUUCACACGGAUUCGCCGUCGAUAGAUCGGUAAACAGUUC
This is a long non-coding RNA of Dinoponera quadriceps, 544 nucleotides long. RefSeq lists it as uncharacterized. Lineage: Eukaryota; Metazoa; Arthropoda; Insecta; Hymenoptera; Formicidae. The record is from RefSeq and is a predicted model, not a curated record. The transcript has 3 exons.